RNAcentral lists this transfer RNA (77 nucleotides) under Syntrophomonadaceae bacterium. Its description in RNAcentral is "tRNA-Pro". It matches the Rfam family "tRNA". From Rfam's summary of the family: Transfer RNA (tRNA) molecules are approximately 80 nucleotides in length. Lineage: Bacteria; Bacillati; Bacillota; Clostridia; Eubacteriales; Syntrophomonadaceae. The record is from RNAcentral.
CGGGAUGUGGCUCAGCUUGGUAGAGCGCCUGGUUCGGGACCAGGAGGUCGAAGGUUCGAAUCCUUUCAUCCCGACCA